Molecule: RNA transcript, 1884 nt
Organism: Ipomoea nil (Japanese morning glory)
Lineage: Eukaryota; Viridiplantae; Streptophyta; Magnoliopsida; Solanales; Convolvulaceae
Exons: 15
Source: RefSeq, a predicted model, not a curated record
GGCCGAUGCACACCAAAUAAAAAUCUAAGUUUGAAAUUAACCAAAUUCAAGUAGUAAAUGGUGCAUAUGGUUUUACAAAUACGGAGUAGUAUUUUUCCAAAAUAAUUGUUGAGGGCCACUUUUCUUAAAACAGAGCACAACCAAUUCGUUCAUCGAUCAAAAAAGUUGGGGAAAGAUGGGAACAAGGAGCAACUUGUACAAGAAUCCUUCCUUUGUCUACAACAAAUCCUUCAAUCUUAACUCCGUUCUUCAGAAUCUCAAUGCUUACAAUGUCGUCACCGGCAAUGUUUCCACGGCUCCUUCCACCGUCAAGCCGGAUUCCGACAAUAAUGAUAUCGGACACCAUAAACGCCGAAGGAUGGAGAGACGACAACCUCUACGGAACAAUGAAAUUGAGGUGAAAGUGAAUGAUAAGCCUAUGUCUCACCAGGACUACAUUGAAGAAAGAAGGAAGGAAGUUGCUUCAAGUCGUCCUUAUGAAGAAUUGAGUGCGGAUGUAUUGGAAACAUCGACUUCAGUUAUGCAGUUGGUAGAGUAUGAAAGUUCAACUUCAAGUAGUUCAUCAGAAUGUGAAAACAAGCACUGUCGUACCAACUCUAGCAUGCUAGCUGAAAAUCAGAGUUCCCAGCCACUUGGUUUCUUUCUUAAUUCUUGUAGUACAAAUGAAGAUGAUAGAGUUAAGACCUGGAGUGAGCAGCGGUCCCCUCUUCCUGGAGAGCCUGUUUGUGUGGUGUGUGGGAAGUAUGGGGAGUACAUUUGCAAUGAGACUGAAGAUGACAUAUGCAGCAUUGAUUGCAAAUCUGAGCUUCUUGAAAACCUUAAGCCGCAACAGGGGCCCUUAAAUGCUCAAUCCCCAGUAGAGCCCUUUGGCAAUAAAUGCUACUCAGAAGUUCCUGAAUCUGGAGGGGACAUCUGGGAUUAUGAGAAUCAUCGGUGGUCCAAGAAGAGAUCUGGUCUUUGUGCUUAUGAAUGUUGGAAAUGUCAAAGGCCUGGGCAUCUUCCUGAUGAUUGUUUGGUUAUGGCAUCUGCAAAUCAAUCUCAUCCAUCUGGUCAAUCAGGUGAAACGAGAAACCAGGUUGCAGUGUUUCCAAGUAAAUCCUGUUCUAUAUCCAGAGAUCUUCUCGAAUUAUAUAAAAGAUGCCGUGAAAUUAGAAAAAAAUCACUUUCAGCACAAUGCGAUUCUUGCCGUAGGUCUACAUCUUUGGCCACAUGUCUUAGAUGUAGUAAUACCUUUUGUGACAGUGCAGGUCAUUUGAGCAAGCAUAUCAGCACGCACCCCUCUCAUCAACAGUACUAUUCCUAUAAGCUCAAUCGUUUGACAGGUGAAAUGCUGUAAGUCAACAUGCAAAGUGACUGAUAUCCAGGAUCUUUUGGCUUGCCACCAUUGUUUGAAUAAAGCAUUUGACAAGUACUAUGAUAUGUACACUGCGACCUGGAAGGGUGCAGGAUUUUCAAUUAUAUGGGGUUCUAUUUGCUGUGAAGACCAUUUUGAAUGGCACAGGAUAAAUUGCUUAAAUGCUGGCGUCGAAGAUAGUGCAUACAUCAUUAAGAAACACUCCCCAAAUGACAACUGUGCCUUGAGUGACUUCAUCUUUUGAAGAUGUAAUGACAAGCAGCUGCCGGGCUCUUGGGUUGGGGAUUCAACCUUUUGGGGAAAAAGGAAAGAAUGAAUGGACUUCUAGUUUGAGGGCUACAUUCCGAGGAAGCCACCGGAUCCGACAUGCAUUGUAUGCACCGAGAUUUGAAUUUUGAAGUCUAAUUGGUGAUGGAAUAUCCUUUUGUAUGCGACUGGAGAGUAUGAUAUCCUCUUUGUUUGCUGAUGAUAUUAUUGCAAGGAAAUAUUUUUAUUUGCACACUAAAGUUUAUACACAAGUGUUUUUACAA